CCUACGGGAGGCAGCAGUGAGGAAUAUUGGUCAAUGGACGAGAGUCUGAACCAGCCAAGUAGCGUGAAGGAUGACUGCCCUAUGGGUUGUAAACUUCUUUUAUAAAGGAAUAAAACGAGGCACGUGUGCCUUUUUGCAUGUACUUUAUGAAUAAGAUUCGGUAAACUCCGUGCCAGCACCCGCGUAAAUCCGGAGGAUCCGAGCUUUAUCCGGAUUUAUUGGUUUUAAAGGGAGCGUAGAUGGGUUGUUAAGUCAGUUGUGAAAGUUUGCGGCUCAACCGUAAAAUUGCAAUUGAUACUGGCAGUCUUGAGUACAGUUGAGGUAGGCGGAAUUCGUGGUGUAGCGGUGAAAUGCUUAGAUAUCACGAAGAACCCCGAUUGCGAAGGCAGCUUACUAAACUGUGACUGACAUUGAUGCUCGAAAGUGUGGGUAUCAAACAGGAUUAGAUACCCGGGUAGUC
Molecule: ribosomal RNA, 460 nt
Filed under: uncultured bacterium
Lineage: Bacteria
Description: partial 16S ribosomal RNA
Rfam family: Bacterial small subunit ribosomal RNA
Source: RNAcentral